Molecule: small nucleolar RNA, 137 nt
Organism: Cricetulus griseus (Chinese hamster)
Lineage: Eukaryota; Metazoa; Chordata; Mammalia; Rodentia; Cricetidae
Source: Ensembl
AGGCACUGUCUUGGAACCUCUUUGUGUCUGACCUGUGGCCUCAGGGUCUAGAGACAGUGCCAGAGCAGAUGGAGCUUGCUCACAUCCGGGGCUGCUUGGUGCUACCUUAGUGAUUCCUUUAGCUGCAAGCGACAUUC